AUACGUAGGGUGCGAGCGUUAUCCGGAAUCAUUGGGCGUAAAGAGCUCGUAGGCGGUUCAGCAAGUCGGCUGUGAAAGUUCGAGGCUCAACCUCGAAAUUGCAGUCGAUACUGCUGUGACUCGAGUCCGGUAGAGGAGAAUGGAAUUCUCGGUGUAGCGGUGAAAUGCGCAGAUAUCGAGAGGAACACCAGUAGCGAAGGCGGUUCUCUGGGCCGGCACUGACGCUGAGGAGCGAAAGCGUGGGGAGCAAACAGGAUUAGAAACCCGAGUAGUCC
This 275-nucleotide ribosomal RNA is filed under the name uncultured bacterium. RNAcentral describes it as "partial 16S ribosomal RNA". It matches the Rfam family "Bacterial small subunit ribosomal RNA", at positions 523 to 796 of the family's 1533-position model. The record is from RNAcentral.